This 449-nucleotide ribosomal RNA is filed under the name uncultured bacterium. RNAcentral's name for it is "bacterial SSU rRNA". It matches the Rfam family "Bacterial small subunit ribosomal RNA", at positions 329 to 794 of the family's 1533-position model. The record is from RNAcentral.
UGCCAGACUCCUACGGGAGGCAGCAGUGGGGAAUAUUGCACAAUGGGGGGAACCCUGAUGCAGCGACGCCGCGUGGGUGAAGGAGUACUUCGGUACGUAAAGCCCUAUCAGCAGGAAAGAAAAUGACGGUACCUGACUAAGAAGCCCCGGCUAACUACGUGCCAGCAGCCGCGGUAAUACGUAGGGGGCAAGCGUUAUCCGGAUUUACUGGGUGCAAAGGGAGCGUAGACGGACUUGCAAGUCUGAUGUGAAAAUCCGGGGCCCAACCCCGGAACUGCAUUGGAAACUGUAUAUCUAGAGUGUCGGAGAGGCAGGUGGAAUUCCUGGUGUAGCGGUGAAAUGCGUAGAUAUCAGGAGAAACACCAGUGGCGAAGGCGGCUUGCUGGACGAUGACUGACGUUGAGGCUCGAAAGCGUGGGGAGCAAACAGGAUUAGAUACCCUAGUAAGC